RNAcentral lists this ribosomal RNA (254 nucleotides) under uncultured bacterium. RNAcentral's name for it is "partial 16S ribosomal RNA". It matches the Rfam family "Bacterial small subunit ribosomal RNA", at positions 524 to 776 of the family's 1533-position model. The record is from RNAcentral.
CACGUAGGGGGCGAGCGUUGUCCGGAUUUAUUGGGCGUAAAGAGCUCGUAGGCGGUUUCGUAAGUCGGAUGUGAAAACUCCAGGCUCAACUUGGAGACGCCAUUCGAUACUGCGAUGACUUGAGUCCGGUAGGGGAGUGUGGAAUUCCUGGUGUAGCGGUGAAAUGCGUAGAUAUCAGGAGGAAUACCGGUGGCGAAAGCGACUCUCUGGACGGCAACUGACGCUGAGGCACGAAAGCGUGGGGAGCAAACAGG